Molecule: unclassified non-coding RNA, 990 nt
Filed under: Hevea brasiliensis (rubber tree)
Lineage: Eukaryota; Viridiplantae; Streptophyta; Magnoliopsida; Malpighiales; Euphorbiaceae
Source: RNAcentral
AAAAGGAAAACCCCAGAUCUUGAUUUGGCAUUACAUUGAAUAAUCAGAUUCAAAGACAAAUUUUUAAGUUGGAUUUAAAAUGUAUAUAUCCCAGGUGAAAGUCUCUGUUGAGAACGAUCAGUACCAUUUGAGGUCAUGGGUCACUCCGAGUGUUGUUCUCAAUCCGAGUUCUAGAGCUCUCUGUUUAUAGCCAAAAUUGCAAAGAGAAGCGAGGCAAAUGAGGCGCAGUCUUGAGGUUUGGAAGAUGGGCACGGUAAAUUACCUGGAGGCACUGAAGCUGCAAGAGAAGCUGGCAACUGAUAGAAAAGCUCUAAAAAUUACUGAUACCCUAUUAUCUCUACAGCAUCCACCGACGUAUACAGUUGGCAAAAGGGAAACAGUUCAUAAUCUACUCAUUCCUGAUUCUGAGCUCAAGUCCAUGGGGGCGGAACUUCACUAUACGCAAAGAGGAGGUGACAUUACAUUUCAUGGUCCUCAGCAAGCAAUCUUAUAUCCCAUUGUUUCGUUGAGAGAUAUUGGUUUAGGGGCUAGAAUGUAUGUUGAGAAGCUUGAGCUAACCAUGAUUGAAUUGGCAUCUAUGUAUGGUGUGAAAGCACAGGCUGGACAAAAAUGCGAAACUGGUGUUUGGGUUGAGGACAGAAAGAUUGGCGCGAUUGGAGUUAGAAUUUCAUCUGGGAUCACAUCUCAUGGAUUAGCAUUCAACAUGGACCCUGAUUUAAACUACUUUAAGCAUAUUGUGCCUUGUGGGAUUGUCAAUAAAGGUGUUACGUCUUUGAAGAAUGAGACAGAUGUAGAGCUUCCCGCUGAAGAUGUGAUACAGGAGCAGUUGAUCGCUUGUUUUGUAAGAAUAUUUGGGUACAACGACGUUGUCUUAAAAGAUAAGUCUGUGUUAUAAUUUGAUUAAGCACUAAUGUUAACAUAGGCUGAUACAUUAUCUGACUAAUUUUUUUUGUAUAAGUAGACAUUCAUUCAUUUGAUCAGAUUAGCAUU